RNAcentral lists this ribosomal RNA (465 nucleotides) under Vreelandella stevensii. Its description in RNAcentral is "partial 16S ribosomal RNA". It matches the Rfam family "Bacterial small subunit ribosomal RNA", at positions 338 to 795 of the family's 1533-position model. The record is from RNAcentral. Lineage: Bacteria; Pseudomonadati; Pseudomonadota; Gammaproteobacteria; Oceanospirillales; Halomonadaceae.
CCUGCGGGAGGCUGCAGUGGGGAAUAUUGGACAAUGGGCGAAAGCCUGAUCCAGCCAUGCCGCGUGUGUGAAGAAGGCCUUCGGGUUGUAAAGCACUUUCAGUGGGGAAGAAAGCCUUGGGGCUAAUACCCUCGAGGAAGGACAUCACCCACAGAAGAAGCACCGGCUAACUCCGUGCCAGCAGCCGCGGUAAUACGGAGGGUGCGAGCGUUAAUCGGAAUUACUGGGCGUAAAGCGCGCGUAGGCGGUCUGAUAAGCCGGUUGUGAAAGCCCCGGGCUCAACCUGGGAACGGCAUCCGGAACUGUCAGGCUAGAGUGCAGGAGAGGAAGGUAGAAGUCCCGGUGUAGCGGUGAAAUGCGUAGAGAUCGGGAGGAAUACCAGUGGCGAAGGCGGCCUUCUGGACUGACACUGACGCUGAGGUGCGAAAGCGUGGGUAGCAAACAGGAUUAGAUACCCUAGUAGUC